Molecule: non-coding RNA, 159 nt
Organism: Metarhizium robertsii ARSEF 23
Lineage: Eukaryota; Fungi; Ascomycota; Sordariomycetes; Hypocreales; Clavicipitaceae
Source: Rfam
CAUGCCCGUUCUUAGUUGGUGGAGUGAUUUGUCUACUUGAUUGCGAUAACAAACGAGACCUUAACCUGCUAAAUAGUCAGUAUUGCUAUGGCAGUACGCGGGCUUCUUAGAGGGACUAUCGCCUCAAGCUGGUGGAAGUUUGAGGCAAUAACAGGUUGA